GGGAAGGCAAUAAUGCAAGUUCAAGCGAGCUUGCCUAGAUGAUUUUAGUGCUUGCACUAAAUGAAACUAGAUACACCCUUAAAAGGACGGGUGAGUAACACGUGGGUAACCUGCCCCUUAAAAAAGGAUAANANNUGGAAANAGAUGGUAAUAGNGGAUAAGAAGAAUAGAGGAAUGUUUAGAGUUUGAAUUCUGGAAAUGCUAUCACUCUUGGAUGGAGCUGCGGUGCAUUAGCUAGUUGGUAAGGUAACGGCUUACCACGGCAAUGAUGCAUAGCCGAGUUGAGAGACUGAUCGGCCACAUUGGGACUGAGACACGGCCCAAACUCCUACGGGAGGCAGCAGUAGGGAAUCUUCCACAAUGGACGAAAGUCUGAUGGAGCAACGCCGCGUGAGUGAAGAAGGGUUUCGGCUCGUAAAGUUCUGUUGGUAGUGAAGAAAGAUAGAGGUAGUAACUGGCCUUUAUUUGACGGUAAUUACUUAGAAAGUCACGGCUAACUACGUGCCAGCAGCCGCGGUAAUACGUAGGUGGCAAGCGUUGUCCGGAUUUAUUGGGCGUAAAGCGAGUGCAGGCGGUUCAAUAAGUCUGAUGUGAAAGCCUUCGGCUCAACCGGAGAAUUGCAUCAUAAACUGUUGAACUUGAGUGCAGAAGAGGAGAGUGGAACUCCAUGUGUAGCGGUGGAAUGCGUAAAUAUAUGGAA
This 700-nucleotide ribosomal RNA is filed under the name uncultured bacterium. RNAcentral describes it as "bacterial SSU rRNA". It matches the Rfam family "Bacterial small subunit ribosomal RNA", at positions 44 to 703 of the family's 1533-position model. The record is from RNAcentral.